This 409-nucleotide long non-coding RNA is filed under the name Mytilus galloprovincialis (Mediterranean mussel). The record is from RNAcentral. Lineage: Eukaryota; Metazoa; Mollusca; Bivalvia; Mytilida; Mytilidae.
UUAUCGGUCGUCCCACUGUCUAUAUCAAUUUGUUCAGCUCUUAAUAUUAUUCCGUAUCAUGUCUUUGUGACGUCAAAUACGUUGACCCGGCCUUAAUAACUUUGACCCGGACAUAUCAGCGACGUCAUAAUGUUUGACCCGACGUUAAUAACUUUGACCCGAACUUAUCAAGUCAUCUUUUGUGUCCUUGUGAAACAAAGAAAACACUUCUGAAACACGCAAAUAUAGCCCGAUAAAUCGAUUAUCAGAUUAUCUGCAUAUUGAUAUUGUAAAAUAUCAGCUGCUUGACAUUAUAUGAAGGCUUUUUGAUCUCGUUCGCUACGCUCACUCGACAAAAAGCUUCAUAUUAUGUCUCGCAGCUGAUAUUUUACGAUAUCAACAUGCAGAUAACCUGAUAAUCGGUACGUCU